CCUACGGGUGGCAGCAGUGGGGAAUAUUGCACAAUGGGGGGAACCCUGAUGCAGCGACGCCGCGUGAGUGAAGAAGUAUUUCGGUACGUAAAGCUCUAUCAGCAGGGAAGAAAAAAGGACGGUAUCUGAGUUAGAAGCUCUGGCUAACUACUUGCCAGCAGCCGCGGGAAUACGUAGGGGGCAAGCGUUAUCCGGGAUUACUGGGUGUCAAGGGAGCGUAGAUGGCGAUGCAAGUCCGGAGUGGAAUGCGGCAGCUCAACUGCCGAUCUGCUCUGGAAACUGUAUGGCUUGAGUGCAGGAGGGGUGAGCGGAAUUCCAGGUGUAGCGGUGAAAUGCGUAGAUAUCAGGAGGAACACCGGUGGCGAAGGCGGCUUACUGGACUGUAACUGACGUUGAGGCUCGAAAGCGUGGGGAGCAAACAGGAUUAGAUACCCGAGUAGUC
RNAcentral lists this ribosomal RNA (442 nucleotides) under uncultured bacterium. RNAcentral's name for it is "partial 16S ribosomal RNA". It matches the Rfam family "Bacterial small subunit ribosomal RNA", at positions 338 to 795 of the family's 1533-position model. The record is from RNAcentral.